Molecule: unclassified non-coding RNA, 824 nt
Filed under: Leishmania donovani
Lineage: Eukaryota; Euglenozoa; Kinetoplastea; Trypanosomatida; Trypanosomatidae
Description: gene:LdHU3.32.3880(CDS-product:nucleoside_diphosp hate_kinase_b)
Source: RNAcentral
CAACUUCCCAACGGUUCAACUCUCAGCUUCGCCACCGUCACUCCCCCCCCCCAAGAGAAAAGCAUGUCCUCCGAGCGCACCUUUAUUGCCGUCAAGCCGGACGGCGUGCAGCGCGGCCUCGUUGGCGAGAUCAUCGCCCGCUUCGAGCGCAAGGGCUACAAGCUCGUCGCCUUGAAGAUACUGCAGCCGACAACGGAGCAGGCCCAGGGUCACUAUAAGGACCUUUCCUCCAAGCCGUUCUUCCCGGCCCUUGUGAAGUACUUCUCCUCUGGCCCGAUCGUGUGUAUGGUGUGGGAGGGUAAGAACGUGGUGAAGAGCGGCCGCGUGCUGCUCGGCGCGACGAACCCGGCGGACUCACAGCCUGGCACGAUCCGCGGCGACUUUGCCGUGGAUGUGGGCCGCAACGUGUGCCACGGCUCCGACUCCGUGGAGAGCGCGGAGCGCGAGAUCGCCUUUUGGUUCAAGGCGGAUGAGAUCGCGAGCUGGACGUCGCACUCCGUGUCCCAGAUCUACGAGUAACGGUGAUUGCGGUUACGCUUUGAGGAUGUAGCUGUACCCCCAAUGAAUUCUUCCCUGAAAACCACAUCAUAAGCCUCUUAAUAGGUUAUUUUUCUUGAUCGAUGCCUGGUGGUGACCAGCACCAUUCCUUUAUCGGAUUCACUCACACUCCUAGUGAAUCAUGUAAUGCGGUGAGAGUGGGUUCUGGAGGAGACCGUCGUGCAGCCAUGGCUUCAGGAGAGAAAACAAAAUACAAGGAAAGGCAAUAUGUAACUGUGAGGCUUCCUUUUUUUACUAUGCAAAGUUUUUAUAACUCCUGAUCGGCG